AUUGAACGCUGGCGGCAUGCCUUACACAUGCAAGUCGAACGGCAGCGGACCUUCGGGUGCCGGCGAGUGGCGAACGGGUGAGUAAUAUAUCGGAACGUACCUUUCAGUGGGGGAUAACGUAGCGAAAGUUACGCUAAUACCGCAUAUUCUGUGAGCAGGAAAGCAGGGGAUCGCAAGACCUUGCGCUGAUUGAGCGGCCGAUAUCAGAUUAGCUAGUUGGUGAGGUAAAGGCUCACCAAGGCGACGAUCUGUAGCGGGUCUGAGAGGGUGAUCCGCCACACUGGAACUGAGACACGGUCCAGACUCCUACGGGAGGCAGCAGUGGGGAAUUUUGGACAAUGGGCGCAAGCCUGAUCCAGCCAUGCCGCGUGAGUGAAGAAGGCCUCGGUUG
RNAcentral lists this ribosomal RNA (391 nucleotides) under uncultured bacterium. Its description in RNAcentral is "bacterial SSU rRNA". It matches the Rfam family "Bacterial small subunit ribosomal RNA", at positions 30 to 425 of the family's 1533-position model. The record is from RNAcentral.